ACCCUGGGGAUAACAGGCUUAUCUCCCCCAAGAGUCCACAUCGACGGGGAGGUUUGGCACCUCGAUGUCGGCUCAUCACAUCCUGGGGCUGUAGUAGGUCCCAAGGGUUGGGCUGUUCGCCCAUUAAAGUGGUACGCGAGCUGGGUUCAGAACGUCGUGAGACAGUUCGGUCCCUAUCCGUCGCAGGCGUAGGAAAUUUGAGAAGACCUGUCCUUAGUACGAGAGGACCGGGAUGGACGUACCUCUGGUGUACCA
Molecule: ribosomal RNA, 255 nt
Filed under: Clostridioides difficile
Lineage: Bacteria; Bacillati; Bacillota; Clostridia; Peptostreptococcales; Peptostreptococcaceae
Description: partial 23S ribosomal RNA
Rfam family: Bacterial large subunit ribosomal RNA
Source: RNAcentral